GAUCUAUUAAUUCAGUUGGUUAGAGCGUUGUGCUAAUAACGCGAAAGUCAUAAGUUUAAUUCUUGUUUGGGCCA
Molecule: non-coding RNA, 74 nt
Organism: Glycine max (soybean)
Lineage: Eukaryota; Viridiplantae; Streptophyta; Magnoliopsida; Fabales; Fabaceae
Source: Rfam